AAUCUUGUUCUUAUUGGCUGUGUAGACAUCUCAAGAUACCACAGUAACUGAAAGAGAGAAAAGGAGACAACUUGGUAACAGAAGUGACUGUCCAGACUAGACAUCAUAAGGCUUCAACUGAUCCUCCUGGGGAAGGAAAAAUGAAGAGAUUGAUUCGUGAUUUAUUCCUGCUCCUGUGGCUGUGGCUGCACUUGCUGAGCAGAGGAGAGAAGGUGGAGCAGAGUCCUUCUGUCCUGAGUGUGCAGGAGGGAGACAGCUGUGUCAUCAACUGUACUUACUCAAACAGUGCCUUAGACUACUUCAUUUGGUACAAGCAAGAACCAGGACAAGGUCCCCAGCGCAUUCUAGACAUUCGUUCAAAUAGGGACAGAAAUGAAAAUGGAAAACUCCUUGUCCUAUUGCAGAAGAAUGACAAACACCUCUCCCUGCACAUCAAAGACACACGGCCUGGGGACUCGGCUGUCUACCUCUGUGCAGCAAGUGCACAUUGCUCUCCAGGCACCUGCAGCCUGUCCUCAAACCUGCCACCCCUUUCUCUGCCAUGUAUCUUCCAGCACAGUAUUUGCCUGUUGUCUGUUUUAAAGUAGCAGCAAACAC
This is a non-coding RNA of Perognathus longimembris pacificus (Pacific pocket mouse), 597 nucleotides long. The record is from the annotation of a RefSeq genome assembly. Lineage: Eukaryota; Metazoa; Chordata; Mammalia; Rodentia; Heteromyidae.